UACGAAGGGGGCUAGCGUUGCUCGGAAUUACUGGGCGUAAAGCGUGCGCAGGCGGUUCGCCAAGUCAGGUGUGAAAUCCCCGGGCUUAACCUGGGAAUUGCGCUUGAAACUAGCGGGCUUGAGUGUGGCAGAGGGGGGGUGGAAUUCCACGUGUAGCAGUGAAAUGCGUAGAGAUGUGGAGGAACACCGAUGGCGAAGGCAGCCCCCUGGGUCAACACUGACGCUCAUGCACGAAAGCGUGGGGAGCAAACAGG
This 254-nucleotide ribosomal RNA is filed under the name uncultured bacterium. RNAcentral's name for it is "partial 16S ribosomal RNA". It matches the Rfam family "Bacterial small subunit ribosomal RNA", at positions 524 to 776 of the family's 1533-position model. The record is from RNAcentral.